This 89-nucleotide transfer RNA is filed under the name Clostridia bacterium. Its description in RNAcentral is "tRNA-Ser". It matches the Rfam family "tRNA". Rfam says of the family: Transfer RNA (tRNA) molecules are approximately 80 nucleotides in length. Their secondary structure includes four short double-helical elements and three loops (D, anti-codon, and T loops). Lineage: Bacteria; Bacillati; Bacillota; Clostridia. The record is from RNAcentral.
GGAGGGUUACCGAAGUGGUCAUAACGGGGCGGUCUUGAAAACCGUUUGGCGGCAACGUCGCGUGGGUUCGAAUCCCACACCCUCCGCCA